Molecule: ribosomal RNA, 468 nt
Filed under: uncultured bacterium
Lineage: Bacteria
Description: partial 16S ribosomal RNA
Rfam family: Bacterial small subunit ribosomal RNA
Source: RNAcentral
GACGAACGCUGGCGGCGUGCUUAACACAUGCAAGUCGAACGGAAAGGCCCUGCUUUUGUGGGGUGCUCGAGUGGCGAACGGGUGAGUAACACGUGAGUAACCUGCCCUUGACUUUGGGAUAACUUCAGGAAACUGGGGCUAAUACCGGAUAGGAGCUCCUGCUGCAUGGUGGGGGUUGGACAGUUUCGGCGGUUGGGGAUGGACUCGCGGCUUAUCAGCUUGUUGGUGGGGUAGUGGCUUACCAAGGCUUUGACGGGUAGCCGGCCUGAGAGGGUGGCCGGCGACAUUGGGACUGAGAUACGGCCCAGACUCCUACGGGAGGCAGCAGUGGGGAAUAUUGCACAAUGGGCGGAAGCCUGAUGCAGCAACGCCGCGUGCGGGAUGACGGCCUUCGGGUUGUAAACCGCUUUCGCCUGUGACGAAGCGUGAGUGACGGUAAUGGGUAAAGAAGCACCGGCUAACUACGUG